RNAcentral lists this ribosomal RNA (2610 nucleotides) under Escherichia coli 1-392-07_S3_C2. RNAcentral describes it as "bacterial LSU rRNA". It matches the Rfam family "Bacterial large subunit ribosomal RNA", at positions 334 to 2925 of the family's 2925-position model. The record is from RNAcentral. Lineage: Bacteria; Pseudomonadati; Pseudomonadota; Gammaproteobacteria; Enterobacterales; Enterobacteriaceae.
GGAAGCGUCUGGAAAGACGCGCGAUACAGGGUGACAGCCCCGUACACAAAAAUGCACAUGCUGUGAGCUCGAUGAGUAGGGCGGGACACGUGGUAUCCUGUCUGAAUAUGGGGGGACCAUCCUCCAAGGCUAAAUACUCCUGACUGACCGAUAGUGAACCAGUACCGUGAGGGAAAGGCGAAAAGAACCCCGGCGAGGGGAGUGAAAAAGAACCUGAAACCGUGUACGUACAAGCAGUGGGAGCACGCUUAGGCGUGUGACUGCGUACCUUUUGUAUAAUGGGUCAGCGACUUAUAUUCUGUAGCAAGGUUAACCGAAUAGGGGAGCCGAAGGGAAACCGAGUCUUAACUGGGCGUUAAGUUGCAGGGUAUAGACCCGAAACCCGGUGAUCUAGCCAUGGGCAGGUUGAAGGUUGGGUAACACUAACUGGAGGACCGAACCGACUAAUGUUGAAAAAUUAGCGGAUGACUUGUGGCUGGGGGUGAAAGGCCAAUCAAACCGGGAGAUAGCUGGUUCUCCCCGAAAGCUAUUUAGGUAGCGCCUCGUGAAUUCAUCUCCGGGGGUAGAGCACUGUUUCGGCAAGGGGGUCAUCCCGACUUACCAACCCGAUGCAAACUGCGAAUACCGGAGAAUGUUAUCACGGGAGACACACGGCGGGUGCUAACGUCCGUCGUGAAGAGGGAAACAACCCAGACCGCCAGCUAAGGUCCCAAAGUCAUGGUUAAGUGGGAAACGAUGUGGGAAGGCCCAGACAGCCAGGAUGUUGGCUUAGAAGCAGCCAUCAUUUAAAGAAAGCGUAAUAGCUCACUGGUCGAGUCGGCCUGCGCGGAAGAUGUAACGGGGCUAAACCAUGCACCGAAGCUGCGGCAGCGACGCUGAUGCGUUGUUGGGUAGGGGAGCGUUCUGUAAGCCUGUGAAGGUGUGCUGUGAGGCAUGCUGGAGGUAUCAGAAGUGCGAAUGCUGACAUAAGUAACGAUAAAGCGGGUGAAAAGCCCGCUCGCCGGAAGACCAAGGGUUCCUGUCCAACGUUAAUCGGGGCAGGGUGAGUCGACCCCUAAGGCGAGGCCGAAAGGCGUAGUCGAUGGGAAACAGGUUAAUAUUCCUGUACUUGGUGUUACUGCGAAGGGGGGACGGAGAAGGCUAUGUUGGCCGGGCGACGGUUGUCCCGGUUUAAGCGUGUAGGCUGGUUUUCCAGGCAAAUCCGGAAAAUCAAGGCUGAGGCGUGAUGACGAGGCACUACGGUGCUGAAGCAACAAAUGCCCUGCUUCCAGGAAAAGCCUCUAAGCAUCAGGUAACAUCAAAUCGUACCCCAAACCGACACAGGUGGUCAGGUAGAGAAUACCAAGGCGCUUGAGAGAACUCGGGUGAAGGAACUAGGCAAAAUGGUGCCGUAACUUCGGGAGAAGGCACGCUGAUAUGUAGGUGAAGUCCCUCGCGGAUGGAGCUGAAAUCAGUCGAAGAUACCAGCUGGCUGCAACUGUUUAUUAAAAACACAGCACUGUGCAAACACGAAAGUGGACGUAUACGGUGUGACGCCUGCCCGGUGCCGGAAGGUUAAUUGAUGGGGUUAGCCGCAAGGCGAAGCUCUUGAUCGAAGCCCCGGUAAACGGCGGCCGUAACUAUAACGGUCCUAAGGUAGCGAAAUUCCUUGUCGGGUAAGUUCCGACCUGCACGAAUGGCGUAAUGAUGGCCAGGCUGUCUCCACCCGAGACUCAGUGAAAUUGAACUCGCUGUGAAGAUGCAGUGUACCCGCGGCAAGACGGAAAGACCCCGUGAACCUUUACUAUAGCUUGACACUGAACAUUGAGCCUUGAUGUGUAGGAUAGGUGGGAGGCUUUGAAGUGUGGACGCCAGUCUGCAUGGAGCCGACCUUGAAAUACCACCCUUUAAUGUUUGAUGUUCUAACGUUGACCCGUAAUCCGGGUUGCGGACAGUGUCUGGUGGGUAGUUUGACUGGGGCGGUCUCCUCCUAAAGAGUAACGGAGGAGCACGAAGGUUGGCUAAUCCUGGUCGGACAUCAGGAGGUUAGUGCAAUGGCAUAAGCCAGCUUGACUGCGAGCGUGACGGCGCGAGCAGGUGCGAAAGCAGGUCAUAGUGAUCCGGUGGUUCUGAAUGGAAGGGCCAUCGCUCAACGGAUAAAAGGUACUCCGGGGAUAACAGGCUGAUACCGCCCAAGAGUUCAUAUCGACGGCGGUGUUUGGCACCUCGAUGUCGGCUCAUCACAUCCUGGGGCUGAAGUAGGUCCCAAGGGUAUGGCUGUUCGCCAUUUAAAGUGGUACGCGAGCUGGGUUUAGAACGUCGUGAGACAGUUCGGUCCCUAUCUGCCGUGGGCGCUGGAGAACUGAGGGGGGCUGCUCCUAGUACGAGAGGACCGGAGUGGACGCAUCACUGGUGUUCGGGUUGUCAUGCCAAUGGCACUGCCCGGUAGCUAAAUGCGGAAGAGAUAAGUGCUGAAAGCAUCUAAGCACGAAACUUGCCCCGAGAUGAGUUCUCCCUGACUCCUUGAGAGUCCUGAAGGAACGUUGAAGACGACGACGUUGAUAGGCCGGGUGUGUAAGCGCAGCGAUGCGUUGAGCUAACCGGUACUAAUGAACCGUGAGGCUUAACCUU